Molecule: long non-coding RNA, 154 nt
Organism: Coffea eugenioides
Lineage: Eukaryota; Viridiplantae; Streptophyta; Magnoliopsida; Gentianales; Rubiaceae
Exons: 3
Source: RefSeq, a predicted model, not a curated record
AGGGUCUACUUCUAACUCUAUGACACAACAUACAUGUGUAGCCACUGAUAUCACACACAAUGCAGAUAAAUCAUUCAUAUGUAUGAACUGCUACAAAUUCUUGACAGAAAUAGCAGAAAAAACUUCAGGUUUGUCAGCUCUGCUGCCAACAUAC